NNCAGCUCUCCCAGGCUGGAUCCCUGGGAACUGAGGGGCUCCAGGCCUGGAGCAGCUCUGGGGUCUCCUCUGGGCUCUCCCCAGCAGCUCCAGGUGUCCCCAGCUCUGCAGGUGGGGUCUCACCUGGCCACAGGGGCAGGGUCCCCCCUCCCCUGCGGGACCAGCCCAGCCCUGGGGGAGGCUCUCAGGCCCAUCAUCCUCAACACAGAAAUCAUUCCAAGGGCUGCUGAGAACAAUGGCAAUCUCCACUCCCAGGGUUUUCCCAGAGCCAGGAGCUGUGGGCAGGUACAUCCCGAUUUUAGGGGCUGUCACCACCAGCCUGACUCGGCAAUCCUGGCGCUUCCCUCAGCUGCUCCCGGCCCAGCCCGAUCCAGCUUUCCCUCUUCCCAGCACUCAGCUCCCUGUGGGGCUGUGGGAUCAGCGUGUCCCCUCCUGCCCGGGGGAGCUGGACCUGCCCCAUCCCAGCUGGGAAAGCUCCAGGUUCCUGGGAAAGCUCCAGGCUCCUGGGAAAGCUCCAGGCUCCUGGGGAAGCUCCAGGCUCCUGGGGAAGCUCCAGGGUCCUGGGGAAGCUCCAGGCUCCUGGGAAAGCUCCAGGGUCCUGGGAAGGCUCCAGGUUCCUGGGAAGGCUCCAGGUUCCUGAGAAGCUCCAGGCUCCUGGGGAAGCUCCAGGUUCCUGGGAAGGCUCCAGGUUCCUGGGAAGGCUCCAGGGUCCUGGGGAAGCUCCAGGCUCCUGGGAAGGCUCCAGGUUCCUGGGAAAGCUCCAGGUUCCUGGGAAAGCUCCAGGUUCCUGGGAAGGGAGGUGUGAGCCUCGACCUCCCGGAGCUGCGGCCGCUCCAUCCUUCCUGCAGGGCUGGGGGACAGCUGGGGCAGCCCGGCCCCGCCCGGCUGUGCUGGGAAAGGCACGGGAGGGUGUUGGGACACAGGAAAUUCAAAAUAAGGCCAGAGUUAAACACGGGGCUGAGCCACGGCACCGCAUGGCCCCGGCUGGGAGCGCCAGGACACUGCUGGACACUGCUGGACACUGCUGGACACUGCUGGACACUGCUGGACACUGCUGGACACUGCUCUGGACACUGCUCUGGACACUGCUGGACACUG
This 1098-nucleotide long non-coding RNA is filed under the name Parus major (Great Tit). RNAcentral's name for it is "lncRNA (ENSPMJG00000004218.1)". The record is from RNAcentral. Lineage: Eukaryota; Metazoa; Chordata; Aves; Passeriformes; Paridae.